AUUUGAAAUCUGGCUCUUUCAGAGUCCGAGUUGUAAUUUGUAGAGGAUGCUUCGGAAUGGUCCCAGUCUAAGUUCCUUGGAACAGGACGUCACAGAGGGUGAGAAUCCCGUAUGUGACUGGGUAACCGGCCCAUGUGAAGCUCCUUCGACGAGUCGAGUUGUUUGGGAAUGCAGCUCUAAAUGGGUGGUAAAUUUCAUCUAAAGCUAAAUACCGGCCAGAGACCGAUAGCGCACAAGUAGAGUGAUCGAAAGAUGAAAAGCACUUUGGAAAGAGAGUUAAAAAGUACGUGAAAUUGUUGAAAGGGAAGCGUUUGCAACCAGACUUGCCUGCAGUUGAUCAACCGGUGUUCUCACCGGUGCACUCUUCUGCAGACAGGCCAGCAUCAGUUUGGGUGGUUGGAUAAAGGCUGGAGGAUUGUAGCUCCUCUCGGGGAGAACUUAUAGCCUCCAGCGUCAUGCAGCCUGCCCGGACUGAGGACCGCGCUUCUAGCUAGGAUGCUGGCGUAAUGGUUGUAAACGACCCGUCUUGAAACACGGACCAAGGAGUCUAACAUCUAUGCGAGUGUUUGGGUGUCAAACCCGUACGCGUAAUGAAAGUGAACGGAGGUGGGAAGCGCAAGCUGCACCAUCGACCGAUCCUGAUGUCUUCGGAUGGAUUUGAGUAUGAGCAUAGCUGUUGGGACCCGAAAGAUGGUGAACUAUGCCUGAAUAGGGUGAAGCCAGAGGAAACUCUGGUGGAGGCUCGCAGCGGUUCUGACGUGCAAAUCGAUCGUCAAAUUUGGGUAUAGGGGCGAAAGACUAAUCGAACCAUCUGGUAGCUGGUUCCUGCCGAAGUUUCCCUCAGGAUAGCAGUAACGUAUUCAGUUUUAUGAGGUAAAGCGAAUGAUUAGAGGCCUUGGGGUUGAAACAACCUUAACCUAUUCUCAAACUUUAAAUAUGUAAGAAGUCCUUGUUACUUAGUUGAACGUGGACAUUUGAAUGUACCGUUACUAGUGGGCCAUUUUUGGUAAGCAGAACUGGCGAUGCGGGAUGAACCGAACGCGAGGUUAAGGUGCCGGAAUGCACGCUCAUCAGACACCACAAAAGGUGUUAGUUCAUCUAGACAGCCGGACGGUGGCCAUGGAAGUCGGAAUCCGCUAAGGAGUGUGUAAGGUUGUUGCACACCACAGUUGAUCGCUAGUGAACCGUCGAGUUCACCACGGCUCUAACAUGCAGGAAAGCGUCUCCCUCACCGGAGGUGCUACAUGCAGCGGGCCUCCCUUGACCGGGAGGCUCGUCCACAGACUAGAUGGAGCUGGCUGUGAUCGUCUCACAGUUAAGAUAUAGCCGAUGUCCUCUCCGGAAGGAGACGGUAAUCGCAGAACAACUCACCGGCCGAAUGAACUAGCCCUGAAAAUGGAUGGCGCUCAAGCGUGCUACCCAUACCUCGCCGUCAGGGUAGAAACGAUGCCCUGACGAGUAGGCAGGCGUG
This 1471-nucleotide ribosomal RNA is filed under the name Symbiotaphrina buchneri. Its description in RNAcentral is "eukaryotic LSU rRNA". It matches the Rfam family "Eukaryotic large subunit ribosomal RNA", at positions 113 to 1393 of the family's 3401-position model. The record is from RNAcentral. Lineage: Eukaryota; Fungi; Ascomycota; Symbiotaphrinales; Symbiotaphrinaceae.